GCCUGGGGGGCUCAGUCGGUUGAGCAUCCGACUUCAGCUCGGGUUAUGAUCUCAUGGGUUCGAGCCCCACAUCAGGCU
This 78-nucleotide transfer RNA is filed under the name Felis catus (domestic cat). It matches the Rfam family "tRNA". From Rfam's summary of the family: Transfer RNA (tRNA) molecules are approximately 80 nucleotides in length. Their secondary structure includes four short double-helical elements and three loops (D, anti-codon, and T loops). Further hydrogen bonds mediate the characteristic L-shaped molecular structure. tRNAs have two regions of fundamental functional importance: the anti-codon, which is responsible for specific mRNA codon recognition, and the 3' end, to which the tRNAs corresponding amino acid is attached (by aminoacyl-tRNA synthetases). tRNAs cope with the degeneracy of the genetic code in two manners: having more than one tRNA (with a specific anti-codon) for a particular amino acid; and 'wobble' base-pairing, i.e. permitting non-standard base-pairing at the 3rd anti-codon position. Lineage: Eukaryota; Metazoa; Chordata; Mammalia; Carnivora; Felidae. The record is from Rfam by way of RNAcentral.